GAUGAACGCUGGCGGCGUGCCUAAUACAUGCAAGUCGAGCGAACAGACGAGGAGCUUGCUCCUCUGACGUUAGCGGCGGACGGGUGAGUAACACGUGGAUAACCUACCUAUAAGACUGGGAUAACUUCGGGAAACCGGAGCUAAUACCGGAUAAUAUAUUGAACCGCAUGGUUCAAUAGUGAAAGACGGUUUUGCUGUCACUUAUAGAUGGAUCCGCGCCGCAUUAGCUAGUUGGUAAGGUAACGGCUUACCAAGGCAACGAUGCGUAGCCGACCUGAGAGGGGGGGCGGCCAGAGUGAAACAGAGACACGGCCGAGACGCCAACGGGAGGCAGCAGUGGGGAAUAUUGCAUAAUGGGCUAAAGCCUGACGAACUAUAGUAGCGAGAUAGAUGAAGGUAUUAGGAUCGUAAACCUCUGUUAAUAGGAAAGAAAAAAUGUGUAAGGACCUACGCCCGGCUAGACGGUACGGUAUCAGAAAGCAACGGCUAACUAGGUG
RNAcentral lists this ribosomal RNA (497 nucleotides) under uncultured bacterium. RNAcentral describes it as "partial 16S ribosomal RNA". It matches the Rfam family "Bacterial small subunit ribosomal RNA", at positions 28 to 507 of the family's 1533-position model. The record is from RNAcentral.